RNAcentral lists this ribosomal RNA (469 nucleotides) under uncultured bacterium. RNAcentral describes it as "partial 16S ribosomal RNA". It matches the Rfam family "Bacterial small subunit ribosomal RNA", at positions 28 to 507 of the family's 1533-position model. The record is from RNAcentral.
GAUGAACGCUGGCGGCGCGCCUAACACAUGCAAGUCGAACGGUUAAAGCACCUUUUAGGUGUGUAUAAAGUGGCGAACGGCUGAGUAACACGUGGGCAACCUGCCCUCCUCUUGGGGAUAGCCUCGGGAAACCGAGGAUAAUACCCGAUACUUCAAUGUGGCCGCAUGACGACAUUGAGAAAGCUUUUGCGGAGAAGGAUGGGCCCGCGGCCUGUUAGCUUGUUGGUGGGGUAGAGGCCUACCAAGGCAAUGAUGGGUAGCUGGGUUGAGAGACCGACCAGCCAGAUUGGGACUGAGACACGGCCCAGACUCCUACGGGAGGCAGCAGUGGGGAAUCUUGCACAAGGGGCGAAAGCCUGAUGCAGCGACGCCGCGGGCGGGACGAAGGCCUUCGGGUUGGAAACCGCUUUCAGCAGGGACGAGGCGAUAAGUGACGGUACCUGCAGAAGAAGCCCCGGCUAACUACGUG